CACGUGGACAAUUUACCCUUGGGACCAGGAUAACCCCUGGGAAACUGGGGCUAAUACUGGAUGGAGCAUCGGCUGCUGGAAUGCGCGAUGCUCGAAAGCUGAGGCGCCCAAGGAUAGGUCUGCGGCUGAUUAGGUUGUUGUUGAUGUAACGGAUCAACAAGCCCGCGAUCGGUACGGGUUGUGAGAGCAAUAGCCCGGAGAUGGGUUCUGAGAAAAGAACCCAGGUCCUACGGGACGCAUCAGGCGCGAAAACUUUACAAUGUGCGAAAGCGCGAUAAGGGAACUCUGAGUGCCUCCUAAGGAGGCUGUUCAGGUGUCUAAAAAGCAUCUGGAGUAAGGGCUGGGCAAGACCGGUGCCAGCCGCCGCGGUAACACCGGCAGCUCAAGUGGUAGCCAUGCUUAUUGGGUCUAAAGCGUCCGUAGCCGGCUGAGUAAGUUCCUUGGGAAAUUUGACCGCUUAACGGUUAAGCUAUCAGGGAAUACUGCUUGGCUUGGGACCGGGAGAGGUCAGAGGUACUCCAGGGGUAGGGGUGAAAUCUAUUAAUCCUUGGGGGACCACCGGUAGCGAAGGCGUCUGACCAGACCGGGUCCGACGGUGAGGGACGAAGGCUGGGGUCGCGAACCGGAUUAGAUACCCGGGUAGUCCCAGCUGUAAACGAUGCGGGCCAGGUGUUGGCAUUACUGCGAGUGAUGUCAGUGCCAAAGGGAAGCCGUUAAGCCCGCCAUCUGGGGAGUACGGUGCGCAAGGCUGAAACUUAAAGAAAUUGGCGGGGGAGCACCACAACGGGUGGAGC
RNAcentral lists this ribosomal RNA (794 nucleotides) under uncultured archaeon. RNAcentral describes it as "bacterial SSU rRNA". It matches the Rfam family "Archaeal small subunit ribosomal RNA", at positions 97 to 894 of the family's 1478-position model. The record is from RNAcentral.